Molecule: long non-coding RNA, 438 nt
Organism: Spea bombifrons (plains spadefoot toad)
Lineage: Eukaryota; Metazoa; Chordata; Amphibia; Anura; Pelobatidae
Exons: 2
Source: RefSeq, a predicted model, not a curated record
AUAGUUGUAACAGAUGUUUUUUGUAUUUAUACUUUGUAUCUAAUAAUUUAUAAAUGUGUAACCAUUUACACACUUAUUCACAUUUGUUAUGUACAUGUACAUGUUUCACUCAGUAUGUCAUACGUUGGAGUUUGUUUAAAGACUCAGUAGUACUUUGAAAAAAAAAAUAUAGACAAUUUCCAGAAGACACACAAGGAUUUGGGGAUGCCAGAUUAUCACUCUUAUACCAAGCAGUCUGAACAACUGGACUUUAUAUCAAGACUCAAUUUUAAAGUUGGCAAUGAAAUAUAACCAGUAUUCCAUGAACUUUGUAGUGAAUUGAUUGGAGCUCUCGAUUGUUUCUAAUGAAGAGAAUGUUCCUCUCUUCUGUUAAUCCGUGCGAAUAUGGCCUGUUUAUACUGGUUUUUGUAUGUAUAAAAUAAAAUUCUUUGAACUUUA